AUCACUAAGCGGAGGAGAAGAAACUAACCAGGAUUCCCCUAGUAACGGCGAGUGAAGCGGGAAGUGCCCAGCACCGAAUCCACUGCGUUCGAUGUAGUUGGAACUGUGGUGUUCUGGACCGCCUCUGGAGCCGUGCCGUGUGCCCGAGUCCUCCUGAUCGGGGCCUUUCCCAUAGCGGGUGUCAGGCCUCUACUGGCAUGUGGCGUGGUCUUCUUUGAGCGUCCUCGGAGUCGGGUUGUUUGGGAAUGCAGCCCAAAGAGGGUGGUAAACUCCAUCUAAGGCUAAAUACGGACACGAGUCCGAUAGCGGACAAGUACCGUGAGGGAAAGUU
This 331-nucleotide ribosomal RNA is filed under the name unidentified. RNAcentral's name for it is "Typhloscolex phyllodes partial large subunit ribosomal RNA". It matches the Rfam family "Eukaryotic large subunit ribosomal RNA", at positions 42 to 365 of the family's 3401-position model. The record is from RNAcentral.